Molecule: long non-coding RNA, 1296 nt
Organism: Cercocebus atys (sooty mangabey)
Lineage: Eukaryota; Metazoa; Chordata; Mammalia; Primates; Cercopithecidae
Exons: 3
Source: RefSeq, a predicted model, not a curated record
CCCCCGCCCCUCCAUCCCCUCCAGCCUCCCCCACUCCCCUUCAACGCCACCCGCCACCCACACUCGGCUCCGCAGCCGGGCCCCGAGCGAGCUCCGCGAGUCCUGGCGGGAGUCGAGGGCUCCCCGGGUUCAAAGGGCCGCAGCCCCGAGGGAACGCCCUCCUUGCUGUGCCCCGGGGGGCAGAAGCGGACUGCUGGGCAGUGGGACCGGCCUGGGCCACGAUUUAAAUACGGCGACAAGGAAUACUGCAAUGUUGAUGUGGCGGUGAGCCCAGGAAAAAAACUGAAGAACUCUGCUUGAGUCACAGACAGGACAAAUAGGGAAAGUAUCACUGACCCCAGAUGUGCUGUUACCUGACUUGGGAGCCGUUGUUGAGAACCCGGCACUACCAUACCCUUUUGUACAACCAUUGUAAGUGCAAUUCAUGGGUACUCAUAAACGCGAGGAACAGAAGUGGACUUGGGCUGUCCACCCCCACCACUCUUGCUGAGGUGUCUCACUACUACCCAGACGUGUGAAUUCAUGUGACAGCUGGUAUGAGUUGUGGUCACAGAACAAAGGAGGCUAAGCGGGCAUGAUUCUCAACUUUGGCUUCAUUCAUGCCAUUUUCUACCAGUUAAGCCUCUAGAGUCAAACUUGAAGAACUAUCAAGUGGAACUCUUGAAGAAUGGACUUUCUUUCCACAGUGAAUACUUCAUUGAUUUUCAUUGGUUCCCUGAAUAAAGCAGCAAGAAACUCACCACUUCUUUAUUGAAGGCUCUGCUUCAGCCACUAUGUCAAAUAUGUUACACUCUUUAACUAAACUUAAAUAUGGUCUAUAACCCUUUGGGUGGUGGUGUUUCUGUUUCAUGGAUGAAGAUGAAGAUAUCGACACUUUGAGGUUACAAAACCAUCACCAUCAUCAACAGAAACAACGGUGUUUAACUCUGAUUGAGAAUUUACUCUGCUCCUAAAACAUGGAAAGCAUGUCACAAAUCUUCACACAACUGGGUAAGCAUGUCACAAAUCUUCAAACAAGUUUGUAAAAUAAGACUAUUAACAUUCCCAUUUUACAGUUGAAGAAACUGAGGCCUAGAGAAUUAAAUGAUGUGCCUAAGGUCACAGAAUGCAUCAUACAGAGGUGGAGGAGGAGUUAGCUUCACUCCAAAGUCUUUGAUCUUCAUUGUUAAAAUUUCUGGCCGUGUAGUAGAGUAGAAAUGAACUGAAAAUUAAUGUCAGGUUUACACAAAUUAUUUUAUUAAGAAAAGAGACCAAAUGUGGUGGUUCAUGCCUAUAAUCCCAGCACUUUGGGAGGCU